RNAcentral lists this ribosomal RNA (425 nucleotides) under uncultured bacterium. Its description in RNAcentral is "partial 16S ribosomal RNA". It matches the Rfam family "Bacterial small subunit ribosomal RNA", at positions 354 to 796 of the family's 1533-position model. The record is from RNAcentral.
GUUAGGAAUAUUGGACAAUGGGCGAAAGCCUGAUCCAGCCAUGCCGCGUGAACGAUGAAGGCCUUCGGGUUGUAAAGUUCUUUAGCCGAUGAUUAUAAUGACUGUAGUCGGAAAAUAAGCCCCGGCUAACUUCGUGCCAGCAGCCGCGGUAAUACGAAGGGGGCGAGCGUUAUUCGGAAUCACUGGGCGUAAAGCGUGCGUAGGCGGUUGUGUAAGUUAGGAGUGAAAGCCCAGGGCUCAACCUUGGAAUUGCUCUUAAAACUGCAAGGCUCGAAUCUCGGAGAGGAUAGCGGAAUUUCCAGUGUAGCAGUGAAAUGCGUAGAUAUUGGAAGGAACACCAGUGGCGUAAGCGGCUAUCUGGACGAGCAUUGACGCUGAGGCACGAAAGCGUGGGGAUCAAACAGGAUUAGAAACCCCUGUAGUCC